AUGCAUCUGUUUGACAGACCUGGAGCAGCUCCCGUCUGCUGCUAAGGUUUCUGCUAGAGAUGCAAGAAAAAGUGUCCUCGCGCUUUCUGUCUGUCUGGUUGUGGCAGUUAAGAUUGAAUAGGGGAAUACAGGG
This 133-nucleotide small nucleolar RNA is filed under the name Suricata suricatta (meerkat). Its description in RNAcentral is "Small nucleolar RNA SNORA31 (ENSSSUG00005002122.1)". It matches the Rfam family "Small nucleolar RNA SNORA31". Rfam says of the family: ACA31 (SNORA31) belongs to the H/ACA class of snoRNAs which are thought to guide the sites of modification of uridines to pseudouridines. ACA31 is predicted to guide the pseudouridylation of U3713 in 28S rRNA and U218 in 18S rRNA. Lineage: Eukaryota; Metazoa; Chordata; Mammalia; Carnivora; Herpestidae. The record is from Rfam by way of RNAcentral.